GGUGCUCUGACCCCUGCAUGCACUGCCUCUCUUAGCCACCUGCAUUCCCUUCUUAGGUCAGCAGGUGCAGGCCUGGCAAGAGCAGCGUGGAGGGACAUGUUUCUUGAGGCUGCAUGCUGAGCUUCUGGAAAAGCAGCCUGCAGUUGCCAUAUGCACCCAAGAUGACUUUAUUCCAAGCCUCAAAUCCAACAUCUCAGGUCCCCCCAGUGAAGAGUCAAAACCACCAAAAUGUCUUACUGUCUUGCUCUCAAGACCUUAUGACUAGAGGAUUCCAACAUCACAAUCAAAUUCAUCAGUAAUGAAUGCUAUGAUGACAGCGGAUACCACUAGUACAGCCCUUGGACCUGGGCAAGAGGGGCGCUAUCUUGGGUCCAGUGCUUUAGGGGGCCCUGCUCCAGUCCUCCUCCAGGCUUUAGGGGGCCCGGCUCCAGUCCUCCUCCAGGCUUUAGGGGGCCCUGCUCCAGUCCUCCAACUGUGCUUUUCCCUAGGGAGGAAGGAAUCCAUGGCCACCCACACAUGUCCCUUUCUAGAACAUUUUCUGGGUACUUGGGGCCCCCGAUUUCUGGCAAAAACGAUUGCAAGCUUAGAUGUGGGCAUCUUCCCAGCAUCCCUGCUUUAGAGCAGGCUGAGUGGUCACACAAGAUGGUGGCGGGGAAUGUGAAUAGAGGUUGGAUGUGAGGGUGGGAUGUCCACACAGGUGUGCAUAGACCCCUAAGGUGCAGGAUGGAGCUGGGGGUGGGAAGAGAAAGGGAGCAGGUUCCAAUCAGCUCGGCUGUCCCCACAAUGCCGUAUUCUGCAGCAGAUUUCCAAUAAUAUAAUAAUUUACCAUCUAAACCUAGUCUUCAAAGUCAUUAAGAAGUUACUUAUGUUGGCCGGGCAUGAUGGCUCAUGCCUGUAAUCCCAGCACUUUGAGAGGCCGAGGUGGGCGAAUCACCUGAGAUCAGGAGUUUGAGACCAGCUUGACCAACAUGGAGAAACCCCAUCUCUACUAAAAAUACAAAAUUUGCUGGGCGUGGUGGUGCAUGCCUAUAAUCCUAGCUACUUGGGAGGCUAAGGCAAGAGAAUCACUUGAACCUGGGAGGCAGAGGUUGCUGUGAGCCAAGAUCGCACCAUUGAACACCAGGCUAGGCAACAAGAGUGAAAAAAAAAAAAAAAAAA
This 1158-nucleotide long non-coding RNA is filed under the name Macaca fascicularis (crab-eating macaque). RNAcentral's name for it is "lncRNA (ENSMFAG00000065467.1)". The record is from RNAcentral. Lineage: Eukaryota; Metazoa; Chordata; Mammalia; Primates; Cercopithecidae.